CAGUAUUUAGUUUAAUUUGAAAAUAUAAUAUUUGGAUUAUUAAGAUUGGUUACUGA
RNAcentral lists this transfer RNA (56 nucleotides) under Nematodirus spathiger. RNAcentral's name for it is "tRNA-Pro". Lineage: Eukaryota; Metazoa; Nematoda; Chromadorea; Rhabditida; Molineidae. The record is from RNAcentral.